GAAAUAUGUAGGUAAAUAUUUUUAGUUCAACUGCUCUAAACUAAAGGUGUGUUUGAUUCCAUAUGUAAUAAUAAUACUAUAUCUUAGGAAGAACGUAGGGAACACUAUGUUUGUUUGGUAUUGGGUUUUUUUUACAGAAAGAAAGAUUUGUACUGUAAUUGAUAUUUGAAUCUAUGUCUGUGCAUAUUAAUAUGUUUAUUUGUAAAUUACACAUAUCACGUUUCUUAUACAUCAGUACUCACCACAUGUGCUUUAUACUUUUAUAAUCCAUACGUCAGUCACAGAAUCAUUUCAACUUUUGUUCAUUCACAUUAAUUCAAUAAUUUCUAAUUCUAACUAUAACUAUUAUUAUUUUUUCAAUCAAAUAUAUAGUUUUCACGUUUAAAUCAACACAUGUAUAUAUGUAAGUCAGUGAACCAGAUAUACGUUAAUUAUUAUGAAUUACAGUGCCAGUGAUGCGUAGCAGGUAAAAUCAAUUGUAUUGGUUAUUUUUAAAUGUAUACUUAUGUAAACUAUGGGAAGUUUAAACUCAUUUGAUAUUUUCCCUGGUCAAGUGAGGCUGUUAAAAAGCAGGGGUCCCUAAGUAUGCGACCUGGGCUACUUAGGUAUUUAUAUAGCAGGAAAUAAUU
This 629-nucleotide long non-coding RNA is filed under the name Mytilus galloprovincialis (Mediterranean mussel). The record is from RNAcentral. Lineage: Eukaryota; Metazoa; Mollusca; Bivalvia; Mytilida; Mytilidae.